RNAcentral lists this RNase P RNA (374 nucleotides) under Peptococcaceae bacterium. Its description in RNAcentral is "RNase P RNA component class A". It matches the Rfam family "Bacterial RNase P class A". Rfam says of the family: Ribonuclease P (RNase P) is a ubiquitous endoribonuclease, found in archaea, bacteria and eukarya as well as chloroplasts and mitochondria. Its best characterised activity is the generation of mature 5'-ends of tRNAs by cleaving the 5'-leader elements of precursor-tRNAs. The record is from RNAcentral. Lineage: Bacteria; Bacillati; Bacillota; Clostridia; Eubacteriales; Peptococcaceae.
CAAGCAGUCUGGAUGAUCGCGCGCACCAGUUUAAAAAUGGUGCGUGAGGAAAGUCCGGGCUCCACAGGGCAGGGUGCUGGGUAACACCCAGUGGGGGCGACCCCAAGGAAAGUGCCACAGAAAUGGAGACCGCCUGACACUUUCAAGUGUCGGGUAAGGGUGCAACGGUGCGGUAAGAGCGCACCAGCGGUCAGGUGACUGGCCGGCUAGGUAAACCCCACCCGGAGCAAGACCGAAUAGGGAGGCAAUGGAGUGGCCCGCUCCGCCUCCGGGUAGGUUGCUUGAGGCCACAGGCAACUGUGGUCCUAGAGAGAUGAUCAUCACCUCCGUGAUGAGCGGAGGGACAGAACCCGGCUUACAGGACUGCUUGCUUU